UAAUGCCCAGCUGAUGCAUCGG
Molecule: microRNA, 22 nt
Filed under: Heligmosomoides polygyrus
Lineage: Eukaryota; Metazoa; Nematoda; Chromadorea; Rhabditida; Heligmosomidae
Description: hpo-miR-10025-3p
Source: miRBase by way of RNAcentral